UUUCCGUAGGUGAACCUGCGGAAGGAUCAUUAUUGUAUAACCGAGGUGCGAGGGCUGUCGCUGACCCGAAAGGUCGUGCACGCCCGAGUGCCCUCACACACAUCCAUCUCACCCCUAUGUGCACCACCGCGUGGGUCCCCCUUUGGCUUGUUCGGAGGGGGGCUUACGUUUUCACACGAACUUUGUAUGCAGUGUAGAAUGUAUUUUUUGUUUUUGCGAUCACGCAAUCAAUACAACUUUCAACAAUGGAUCUCUUGGCUCUC
Molecule: unclassified non-coding RNA, 263 nt
Filed under: plant metagenome
Description: partial contains small subunit ribosomal RNA, internal transcribed spacer 1, and 5.8S ribosomal RNA
Source: RNAcentral